AUUGAACGCUGGCGGCAUGCCUUACACAUGCAAGUCGAACGGCAGCGGACCUUCGGGUGCCGGCGAGUGGCGAACGGGUGAGUAAUAUAUCGGAACGUACCUUUCAGUGGGGGAUAACGGUAGCGAAAGUUACGCUAAUACCGCAUAUUCUGUGAGCAGGAAAGGCAGGGGAUCGCAAGACCUUGCGCUGAUUGAGCGGCCGAUAUCAGAUUAGCUAGUUGGUGAGGUAAAGGCUCACCAAGGCGACGAUCUGUAGCGGGUCUGAGAGGAUGAUCCGCCACACUGGAACUGAGACACGGUCCAGACUCCUACGGGAGGCAGCAGUGGGGAAUUUUGGACAAUGGGCGCAAGCCUGAUCCAGCCAUGCCGCGUGAGUGAAGAAGGCCUGG
This 389-nucleotide ribosomal RNA is filed under the name uncultured bacterium. RNAcentral's name for it is "bacterial SSU rRNA". It matches the Rfam family "Bacterial small subunit ribosomal RNA", at positions 30 to 419 of the family's 1533-position model. The record is from RNAcentral.